UGAGUACGAGCUGCUACGGCAGCGAAGUGGGUGAUGUCAAGCUUCCAAGAAAAGCCCUAUACCCGUUAAGGCAUGACGGCCUGUACCCGAAACCGACACAGGUGGGGUGGUAGAGAAUACCGAGGGGCGCGAGGUAACUCUCUCUAAGGAACUCGGCAAAAUGGCCCCGUAACUUCGGGAGAAGGGGUGCCACCGCAAGGUGGUCGCAGUGAAGAGGUCCAGGCGACUGUUUACCAAAAACACAGGUCUCCGCUAAGUCGCAAGACGAUGUAUGGGGGCUGACGCCUGCCCAGUGCCGGAAGGUUAAGGAAGCUGGUCAGCGCAAGCGAAGCUAGCGACUGAAGCCCCGGUGAACGGCGGCCGUAACUAUAACGGUCCUAAGGUAGCGAAAUUCCUUGUCGGGUAAGUUCCGACCCGCACGAAAGGCGUAACGAUCUGGGCGCUGUCUCGGAGAGAGGCUCGGCGAAAUAGAAUUGUCUGUGAAGAUGCGGACUACGUGCACCCGGACAGAAAGACCCUAUGAAGCUUUACUGUAGCUUGGUAUUGUGCCCGGGCUCUGAAUGCGCAGGAUAGGUGGGAGGCGUUGAAGAUUUCCUUCCGGGGAAGUUGGAGCCAUCAGUGAGAGACCACUCUGGGAAGGCUAGAAUUCUAAUGGUGUUCCUUCUAUCAGGACACUUGACAGUUUCAGAUUGACAGUUUAUCUGGGGCGGAUGCCUCAUAAAAAGUAACUGAGGCGUGCAAAGGUUCCCCCAGUCUGGACGGAAAUCAGACAGUGAGUGUAAAGGCAAAAGGGAGCUUGACUGCAAGACCUACAAGUCGAGCAGGAACGAAAGUUGGCCUUAGUGAUCCGACGAUGCCGUGUGGAAGGGUCGUCGCUCAACGGAUAAAAGUUACUCUAGGAUAACAGGCUAAUCUUCUCCAAGAGUUCACAUCGACGAGAAGGUUUGGCACCUCGAUGUCGGCUCAUCACAUCCUUCGGCUGCAGUAGGUCGAAAGGGUUGGGCUGUUCGCCCAUUAAAGUGGUACGUGAGCUGGGUUCAGAACGUCGUGAGACAGUUCGGUCCAUAUCCGGUAUUAGCGCAAGAGUAUUGAGGGGAGCCUUCCAUAGUACGAGAGGACCUGUGAAGGACAUGCCUAUGGUGUACCAGUUAUUCUUCCAAGGGUAAACGCUGGGUAGCUACGCAUGGAGUGGAUAAGUGCUGAAAGCAUCUAAGUACGAGGCCCACCCCAAGAUGAGUACUCUCCAUUAGAUCGCGGGAAGACCACCCGUUGAUAGGUAUCAAGUGUAAGGUCUGUAAGGAUUUCAGCUGAGAUAUACUAAAGAUCGA
Molecule: ribosomal RNA, 1328 nt
Filed under: metagenome
Description: bacterial LSU rRNA
Rfam family: Bacterial large subunit ribosomal RNA
Source: RNAcentral